AGCAGCCGCGGUAAUUCCAGCUCCAAUAGCGUAUAUUAAAGUUGUUGCAGUUAAAAAGCUCGUAGUUGAAUUUCGGGAUUGACACAUCGGUCGUGCCUUAAGGGGUAUGAACUGGUGUAGUCAAUUUCUCACCUUCUGGAGAACCGCGAUGCCCUUAAUUGGGUGUCGCGGGGAACCAGGACCUUUACUUUGAAAAAAUUAGAGUGUUUAAAGCAGGCAUUUUGCUUGAAUACAUUAGCAUGGAAUAAUAAAAUAGGACGGCAUGAUUCUAUUUUGUUGGUUUCUAGGAUCACCGUAAUGAUUAAUAGGGAUAGUUGGGGGCAUUAGUAUUCAAUUGUCAGAGGUGAAAUUCUUGGAUUUAUUGAAGACUAACUACUGCGAAAGCAUUUGCCAAGGAUGUUUUCAUUAAUCAAGAACGAAAGUUAGGGGAUCGAAGACGAUCAGAUACCGUCGUAGUCCUAACCAUAAACUAUGCCGACUAGGGAUCGGAUGAUGUUAAUUUUUUAAUGACUCAUUCGGC
Molecule: unclassified non-coding RNA, 520 nt
Filed under: uncultured Glomus
Lineage: Eukaryota; Fungi; Glomeromycota; Glomeromycetes; Glomerales; Glomeraceae
Description: SSU rRNA
Rfam family: Eukaryotic small subunit ribosomal RNA
Source: RNAcentral